GACGAACGCUGGCGGCGUGCUUAACACAUGCAAGUCGAACGGAAAGGCCCUGGUUUUGUGGGGUGCUCGAGUGGCGAACGGGUGAGUAACACGUGAGUAACCUGCCCUUGACUUUGGGAUAACUUCAGGAAACUGGGGCUAAUACCGGAUAGGAGCUCCUGCUGCAUGGUGGGGGUUGGAAAGUUUCGGCGGUUGGGGAUGGACUCGCGGCUUAUCAGCUUGUUGGUUGGGCAGUGGCUUACCAAGGCUUUGACGGGUAGCCGGCCUGAGAGGGUGACCGGCCACAUUGGAACUGAGAUGCGGCCCAGACUCCUACGGGAGGCAGCAGUGGGGAAUAUUGCACAAUGGGCGGAAGCCUGAUGCAGCAACGCCGCGUGCGGGAUGACGGCCUUCGGUUUGUAAACCGCUUUCGCCUGUGACGAAGCGUGAGUGACGGUAAUGGGUAAAGAAGCACCGGCUAACUACGUG
This 468-nucleotide ribosomal RNA is filed under the name uncultured bacterium. RNAcentral describes it as "partial 16S ribosomal RNA". It matches the Rfam family "Bacterial small subunit ribosomal RNA", at positions 28 to 507 of the family's 1533-position model. The record is from RNAcentral.